UGGGGAAUAUUGGACAAUGGGGGAAACCCUGAUCCAGCGACGCCGCGUGGGUGAUGAAGGCCUUCGGGUCGUAAAGCCCUGUCUGGGGAGACGAACCUCUCGUCGACGAAUAAUCGACGGGACUGACGGUAUCCCCGAAGGAAGCACCGGCUAACUCUGUGCCAGCAGCCGCGGUAAUACGGAGGGGGCGAGCGUUAUUCGGAAUUAGUGGGCGUAAAGGGCGCGUAGGCGGCUUGGUAAGUCAAAGGUGAAAUCCCUCGGCCUAACCGAGGAACUGCCUUUGAUACUGCCUCGCUCGAGGCCGGGAGGGGGUAGCGGAAUUCCCAGUGUAGCGGUGAAAUGCGUAGAUAUUGGGAGGAACACCGGUGGCGAAGGCGGCUACCUGGACCGGUUCUGACGCUGAGGCGCGAAAGCGUGGGGAGCAA
This 425-nucleotide ribosomal RNA is filed under the name uncultured bacterium. Its description in RNAcentral is "bacterial SSU rRNA". It matches the Rfam family "Bacterial small subunit ribosomal RNA", at positions 355 to 771 of the family's 1533-position model. The record is from RNAcentral.